UCUCAGGAAAGCAACGCCUUGUGGAGUAUGGACCGGGAGCUUUGAGGGAGUGACGCCGUUCGUGGCUCAGAUUACUCAGCGAGGGCCUACAGGCACUGUUGUUAAUCAGGACAUGGACAUGCCCUCAUUUUGGAGUUGGUAGCCUUGGUGAUCUUACACGUGUACAAGCUAAGGAUAGUCUUGCUAAUGCUUGUAAACAAAUUGUGGUGUGAGAACUUUUUGGAGAAAAAGGUGAAAAAAGCUAGCCUUUUGUUUUCUGUUUUUGGUUGUUGUGUAUAUAUUCAAUCAUAUCUGCUACUAUUGUAUUUGGAACUCUAUCAAUUAAUAAUUAGCGGA
Molecule: long non-coding RNA, 336 nt
Filed under: Zea mays
Lineage: Eukaryota; Viridiplantae; Streptophyta; Magnoliopsida; Poales; Poaceae
Description: long non-coding RNA NONZMAT002544
Source: RNAcentral